This 583-nucleotide ribosomal RNA is filed under the name uncultured archaeon. Its description in RNAcentral is "bacterial SSU rRNA". It matches the Rfam family "Archaeal small subunit ribosomal RNA", at positions 67 to 655 of the family's 1478-position model. The record is from RNAcentral.
CCGCAAGGGGUGGCGCACGGCUCAGUAACACGUAGUCAACCUACCCUAGGGACGGGGAUAACCUCGGGAAACUGAGGCUAAACCCCGAUAGGCUAUAGCCUCUGGAAUGAGCUAUAGCUGAAAUCUAUAUGGCCCUAGGAUGGGACUGCGGCCGAUCAGGUAGUUGGUGGGGUAAUGGCCCACCAAGCCUAUAACCGGUGCGGGCUCUGAGAGGAGGAGCCCGGAGAUGGGCACUGAGACAAGGGCCCAGGUCCUAUGGGGCGCAGCAGGCGCGAAACCUCCGCAAUGGGCGAAAGCCCGACGGGGUCAGUCCGAGUGGUUCCCGCUGAGGGAACCUUUUGCCAGCUGUAAACAGGCUGGCGAAUAAGGGGUGGGCAAGUUUGGUGUCAGCCGCCGCGGUAAUACCAGCACCCCGAGUGGUCGGGACGAUUAUUGGGCCUAAAGCAUCCGUAGCCGGCUUAGCAAGUCUUCCGUUAAAUCCAACGGCUUAACCGUUGGGCUGCGGAGGAUACUGCUAAGCUAGGGGGCGGGAGAGGCGAGGGGUAUUCCCAGGGUAGGGGUAAAAUCCGUUGAUCCCGGGAGG